This is a long non-coding RNA of Rhagoletis zephyria (snowberry fruit fly), 194 nucleotides long. RefSeq lists it as uncharacterized. The record is from RefSeq and is a predicted model, not a curated record. Lineage: Eukaryota; Metazoa; Arthropoda; Insecta; Diptera; Tephritidae.
UGGAAUCAUUAUGAUAUCGACAAUACUAAGAAAACAUGUUAUAUAUCCUUUUGGAAAGGGUACUUAAUUAUCCAAAAAACAACUUUUUUAGUUUUUCAUUGGCUACGUUACACUUAACAUUUGCGGUACAUUUCAUUACGACUUAAUAAGAGUUCUAAACAACUUUUCGCUAACUUGGCACUAAGGCAGUUGAA